GUGCCAGCAGCCGCGGUAAUACAGAGGGUGCAAGCGUUAAUCGGAUUUACUGGGCGUAAAGCGUGCGUAGGCGGUUUGCUAAGUCGGUUGUGAAAGCCCUGGGCUUAACCUGGGAAUUGCAGUCGAUACUGGCAGGCUAGAGAACGGUAGAGGGAGGCGGAACUCCAGGUGUAGCGGUGAAAUGCGUAGAUAUCUGGAAGAACACCGAUGGCGAAGGCAACCUCCUGGGCCUGUUCUGACGCUGAGGCACGAAAGCGUGGGUAGCAAACAGGAUUAGAUACCCUGGUAGUCC
This 292-nucleotide ribosomal RNA is filed under the name uncultured bacterium. RNAcentral describes it as "partial 16S ribosomal RNA". It matches the Rfam family "Bacterial small subunit ribosomal RNA", at positions 505 to 796 of the family's 1533-position model. The record is from RNAcentral.